Molecule: unclassified non-coding RNA, 2585 nt
Filed under: Hevea brasiliensis (rubber tree)
Lineage: Eukaryota; Viridiplantae; Streptophyta; Magnoliopsida; Malpighiales; Euphorbiaceae
Source: RNAcentral
GGGAAACCAGGUGGCCGGAUCCUUUUUCCAUUUUUCUUGCUCGCCGGUUCCUCCGUUUUAAGAUUCUUUUCAGAGCCAGUGAACUUCGAAGGGGCUCUCUGCCGCCAUUUUCCCAAUAGGGUUUGCGGUUGUAGUUGCAAAAAUCGCCAUUAGUGGCUUCUCUUAUCCUGUAAGUUUACAUUGCUGAAACCCCUUCUUUCUAAAGAAAUGUUUUCUUUCGUGUUCAAAUUACUCAUUAAUCUUAGGCGCUUCAUAGAUGCCAAAGCUUGUUACGGUCGUUAUAUUCAAACCCUAACUUCAGUAAAUUCGGCUUCAAGCUCAACGGCCCAAUCUUUAACAGUCUCUUACCUCUCCAACUCAUGUGGGUUGUCACCACAUAGGGCUGCUUCAGUCUGCAAGUAUGUUCUUAUUAAGAGCACAGAUCAGCCAGAGUUGGUUCUUCGACUGUUAAGAGCUAAUGGGUUUACUAAAUCUCAAAUUGCUACCUUAAUUUCAAAUCAACCUCAACUUAUUCUAGCCCAUCCAGAAAAAACCCUUGAACCUAAGAUUGAAUAUUUUGAAUCACUGGGUAUUGCAGGGCCUGACCUGCAUAAUAUUCUAUGUGUAAAUUCAGCUAUUCUAACGGCUAGUUUAAAGAAACGGAUUUUGCCCACUAUUGAUUUCCUUAGGGGGUUGCUUGAGACCGAUGAGAAUGUUUUUUUCGCCUUGAAGCGAGGCCCCCAUCUCCUUACCUGUGGUACUGAGGUGCUGUUGUCUAAUAUAUGCACUUUGCGAGCUCAUGGUGUGCCUGAACCCAGUAUUAGGAGGUUAGUAUUAACGUGGCCACGGUGUCUAAGCCGCAGGGUUCAUUUUUUAGAAGAAGUGGUUCGAGAAGUUAAGGAAAUGGGGUUUGAACCAACGGGAAAGUCCUUUAUAUAUGCUUUUUAUUCAAUGUCUGCUAUGAGCAACCUGAAAUGGGAAAGGAAGAAAAAGGUCUUGAUGAGCUUUGGCUGGUCAGAAAGAGAUAUUAUUAUGGCAUUUAGAGCACAACCACUAUUCAUGACUGCCUCUGAGAAGAAGAUUAAGCAACUAAUGGAGUUUUAUCUGACCAAAGCUUGUUUACAGCUUCCAGAUCUCGUUGGAUGCCCACAUCUAUUUAAGAUCAGUUUGGAGAGAAAUGCCAUGCCAAGAUGCUCUGUUUUGGAUGUGCUAAUGUCGAAGGGCUUGAUUAAAAAGGAUGUAAAUGUUGUUUCAGCACUAAAAAUGUCUAGAAAACAGUUUGAGAACAAGUUUUUGGCUUAUUACAAGGAGGAUUACCCUGAGUUGGUCCAAGCAUACAAGGUUGAGACAUUUCAAGGAUUUGGUAACAAAAUGUGAUAGGUGUUUUGAUGAAGGAACCUUUUCAUACAACAAAUGCAGAAGCAACCGCUACUAUAGGUUUGCAGUAUAUUUAGCAGUUAGGCAAUGGUCAGAGCCCUAAAUGCAUCUCAGUUACAAAGUCAACUACUUGCUUAGAUCAGACUGACUUACCAUGUUAAGUUCUUAAACUUGUUCUAACCCCUCCAGCAAAGUAAGUGUUUAUCACUAACAAAACUUAUGCUGGCGUGUAUUUUCUGAUGGUUGAUUCAAGGUAAUUUUAUAUGAAUCUGAACAAACUUUUGACUCGUAUAAAUCGAUUGGGUGAGCAUCAUAUUAAUUUUAUGCUAAAAUUUUUUGUGGUGAACUAGUUAUCUCAUCUCGGCAUCUUGGGCACAUGAAGAAUCUGAAACUCACUGCAGAAACUUUUGGCUGAACUAGGCUUUACAUGUUGUUUGUCCUUUGACGUUCAUAGUAAUUUGAGAGAAUGUGGUUUCUAGGCAUCCAUGUUUAACAUGCUUGUGUUGCCUUUGCAUUUCUCUAUGAUGUAAACUCUCUCUUCAAAUAAGUUGGAACACAAAAGAUCUACUUAAGCAAAGGAAACAAAUUCAUAGCUUUGACUUCCAAUUUUAGAAAGCUUACUAGGGUAACUAUGAUAUUGCUCCUAAUGUCAUUAAUUCAUUCCCAAGGCUGAUCUUUCAGCUGUUUCAUCUAAGUAAUGAACUGCAAUUUUUUAAAGUUCAAGACAUACAUUUAAGUGCAGGUUUCAUAUCAUGGGAGAAUUUUUGGAGCACAUUAAUUGGUGAUCCACGGAUCAGAGAUACUACUUAAUUUGAUGUGUUUUCUUGGCAUCCAUGUUUGAUAUGCUUGUGUUUCCUUUGCAUUUCUGUAUGCCAGAUUGAAAUUCUUUGAUAUCUCUGUCUGUGAAUUGAUAUGUGCCCUUUCUCUUCUUAUUAUCGUUUGUUUUGUAGUUUCUGUCCCCCUGUUUCAUAUAGCUGAUAGUUCUUUGCCUCUAGGAGGAUUUUAUUGGAAAAUUAGAUAGUAUAGGCUAGUUUAUGAAGUUUCACAAAGCUAAUGAUGGAUUCAUUGUCCAUCGAGUGUUACUUUCCCCAAUGGAUAUCACCAGAACAAAAUGACUGUUAAUUUGGUUUGCUUGGAAGAAUUUUAUCUGCAAAUUUUGGUUUGAUUUAAUUAAUUAUCUAUUUUGUAAAUGAAAUCAUAGUUGAAUUCAUCAAAGAGAUUGUUUUUUG